GACGAGGGGUGCAAACGUUAUUCGGAAUGAUUGGGCGUAAAGGGUGCGUAGGCGGUUUAUCAAGUCAACUGUUAAAUUUCUCAGCUUAACUGGGAGUAUGCGGUAGAAACUGAUAGACUAGAGGGUGGAAGAGAGAAGUAGAAUUCUCGGAGUAGCGGUAAAAUGCGUAGAUCUCGAGAGGAACACCGAUGGCGGAGGCAGCUUCUUAGGCCAUUUCUGACGCUGAGGCACGAAAGCGUGGGGAGCAAAC
Molecule: ribosomal RNA, 250 nt
Filed under: uncultured bacterium
Lineage: Bacteria
Description: partial 16S ribosomal RNA
Rfam family: Bacterial small subunit ribosomal RNA
Source: RNAcentral